AAUAAACCAAAUUUUCACUUUUUAUCUUCAAUUUUUGACUCUGUGAUUAAUAUUUUUGUUUUUAUUAGAUAAUAAAUUAUGAAUAAUACUUUACGUGUGACUAAUUUUUUUUCUAAUUUUCUAAAAUUUUUUCAAAUAAGACAGGUGGUCAAAAGUUGGACACGAAAACCGAAGGAUUCGUUUUUU
This 186-nucleotide microRNA precursor is filed under the name Oryza brachyantha (malo sina). RNAcentral describes it as "MIR812 microRNA precursor family". It matches the Rfam family "MIR812 microRNA precursor family". Lineage: Eukaryota; Viridiplantae; Streptophyta; Magnoliopsida; Poales; Poaceae. The record is from Rfam by way of RNAcentral.